RNAcentral lists this non-coding RNA (27 nucleotides) under Homo sapiens (human). The record is from RNAcentral. Lineage: Eukaryota; Metazoa; Chordata; Mammalia; Primates; Hominidae.
UAAGUGAUGAUAAAUGGCCAUGAAUGC